CAGGGAGACAACAAAAUGUUUAAUAUUAUUAUUUUGUCACCUUAGGUCGAUCGGUAUCUCACGUUCUUAAUUUGUUAAGAAUUUCAUUUCCUAAGUUUUUCUAGGUCACACCCAUUAUUUUUCCUGGGCCAUUAGCUCAGGUGGUUAGAGCGCACCCCUGAUAAGGGUGAGGUCCCUGGUUCAAGUCCAGGAUGGCCCAUAUCUCUAUGUUGGGGGUAUAGCUCAGUUGGUAGAGCGCCUGCUUUGCAAGCAGGAUGUCAGCGGUUCGAGUCCGCUUACCUCCACUGAUUACCACCUCUUCCAUAACUGGUAGAAAGGAAAUGUUUUGAGUUGUGAUUAUUAUUCUGAACGAAUCUAGCUUCCUAAUGAAAUCAUUAAGAUGCUGGACUCAUUGAAUUAAUUUCAUUGUUUUCAGAGAACCUUGACAACUGCAUAGAUUUUUUUAAAGACAAUAAGCAUCUUUAAUGAUGCAGAUUUAUUAUUUGUGCGAAUGCAUUAAUAACAAUUCUAUUGAGCUGAUGCUUCAAUUUUUGAAGUUAUU
This 541-nucleotide transfer RNA is filed under the name uncultured Prochlorococcus sp. RNAcentral's name for it is "partial 16S-23S ribosomal RNA intergenic spacer". The stretch from base 212 to 284 matches the Rfam family "tRNA". The record is from RNAcentral. Lineage: Bacteria; Bacillati; Cyanobacteriota; Cyanophyceae; Synechococcales; Prochlorococcaceae.